UGUCUCCGAUCUCAUACAUUCGGAAACUUUUCUCCCAAGCCAGAGGUAGGAAACGUUACAGAAGAGGAUGGGAUGUCAAAAUGUUCCUCUAUUUUAUACACAGAUGGUGGCUACAACUUUAGUCCUUCUGACCACAUCCGUUAUAGUUCCGCUGGCACUAAUCUAUGAGGUCCCGAUACCAUUGGUCGUAUUUCUUCUCCUGAUGAACAUGGGAGUCCUCGUUUUUACAUGGAGACGUCGACGUUUACAAAACGAAGCUGCUCUGCAAAACACGAAUGCCAGUUUCCAUCACUCUCGUGAUGGAGUGAUUGUCACGCAUGCACAUUUACAGGACGACGGGAGAUCAAGCAACCCGUCAGGACUAACACAUGUUCUGGAAGAGGAUACCUUGGGGAUCAGUCCAAGCAU
Liolophura sinensis is the source of this 408-nucleotide long non-coding RNA. RefSeq lists it as uncharacterized. The record is from RefSeq and is a predicted model, not a curated record. The transcript is spliced from 3 exons. Lineage: Eukaryota; Metazoa; Mollusca; Polyplacophora; Chitonida; Chitonidae.